This 537-nucleotide long non-coding RNA is filed under the name Pongo abelii (Sumatran orangutan). RNAcentral's name for it is "lncRNA (ENSPPYG00000040036.1)". The record is from RNAcentral. Lineage: Eukaryota; Metazoa; Chordata; Mammalia; Primates; Hominidae.
UGAAAUUAUCGUGUUUUUCUGUUUAACCUGUUUCUUGUCUCUUCAUCGCCUUUCUAUAUAAUGUAAGACCAGAGGCUUUAUGUAGUGAAUUCCCUGUAACCCCGGCUCCUUGGACAAAUAGGUAUUCAAGUAUUUGUUUCUUGAAGUAAUCCUCUGAAUUAACCUGCUCACAUGUAAAAAAUAAUAAGCGGCUGGGAAACGCCAGUAAUAACCGACAAACGUUUGUUAGACAUUUACAGUGUGCCAAGGACUGCAUUUUACGUGUAUUAUCACAUUCCUCAGAACAGCCUAAUGAGGUGCCUCUGAAGCAGAACUCUUGAGAUGGAAGGAUUGUCAUCUGAGGAAAAAAAAUCAAGAUUAAGAGAGGAGGAACUAGAAUGAGAUUCACAUACCCUCUCUCCUCCAAGGGAAGGAGAGAGUGGUGUUGCCUGCCCACUCCUUCCUGGGCAGAACGUUUGUAGCAUGGAACAUUGGAGAAUUUGCAGUCUGCUGACUUUCUGAUUUAGGAGGUUGAUGGGGAGGCCUUAUAAUUUGCAU